Molecule: long non-coding RNA, 1335 nt
Filed under: Amborella trichopoda
Lineage: Eukaryota; Viridiplantae; Streptophyta; Magnoliopsida; Amborellales; Amborellaceae
Description: long non-coding RNA (ATRI_LNC001025)
Source: RNAcentral
UGAGAUGAGCAAAUCGGUCGAGUUUGAGUGGACUCGGGCAAGUUAUAGACACCCUUUACCAUGUAAGAAACAAAAAAAAAGCGUAAAAAAUUGCUUAAAAAAUAAUAAAAAAUGGGAAAAAGUAUUGAGUUACUAGAAUUAAUUAGAAGGCUGAAGAAGAUAUAUAAAAUAUGGACUAAUGAAAACCUUGAUUUAUGUUUUGAAUAUUUUUAAAAAAUUAAAAAAAGGAAAAAAAUAUGAAAGAUCUCAAACCAUCCUAAAAACUAUCAAAAUCAUUUCUAAGCAAUAUAUUUGCAUUUCUUGGUUCCACCAUGGCCGUUCUCAAGCCAAUCGUGCCGGUCCAAAGCCCAGAUAAAGGAAGAAGGGCAGCCAACGUAAAACUUUGUCAUAUCUUUUUAUGAAUUCUAGACCUAUGUUAUAUGCUCAUGCUAGGGCGUCCCGUGUAAACGACGUGUCUUAUAACCUAACUAAGGGUAUGACUCUUGAUAGAGUUGAAUACUGAAAUAGAAUUUGUGUUGCCUACCCCAAAGAGUUGGGAUAAAGCUCGGGUGAUGAUAAUGAUGUUAUUUGUCGUUUCUAAUUUUUUUUAGAUUUUUAACGAUUUUUAAAAAAAAAUUUAGGGGACUGUUGUGGUGGGCAGUUGGAUACCCAACCUGCCCAAAACUCACCUCACCACUAGAGCGAGGUCGAGUUAUUCAGCCGAGUCGGAGUGGACUCGCCGAGUCGUGGAACACUGAGAUUAAGUGUGUUAUAAUCACAUACAAAUAUAUACAUGAUACAUAAUAGUUCUUCUCAACACUCCCCCUCAAACUGGAUAAUGUGGAUCCCGCAUUAAUCUUGGUUGCAUUAGCUCCGGAUUGGAUAUUGAACAUGGAAAAAUGCUUGCUAGGCGAUGGUUGUAGAAGUCCAUUUCCAUAUUAUUGAAGGCCUUGCCUUGUUGCACUUGCACGUAUGAGACAUCAAGGCAGAUUUAGAUGUGCCAGUCCCUUAUGAGGUGUUUGUCCUGCACAAAUAGUAACAAUGUAUGGUAAAUUUGUACAGGAAAGCAAAUUUAUUUGGGAAAUAGCACUUCUUCUCAAUGGGGGCAUAAAAAAAGGAAAAACUGCUAUCUCCAACUUGGAUUUGUCCACCCUGUGCAUAUCACCCAUCCAUGUGGGCAGUAAUUAUCUGGAUUACAACACUCCAGCUUUAGGUGUACAACAGUUGAAGUUUGGUUUUUCUCUGAUUGUCUUUUAUUACCUUCUGUUAUUUGUCUUGGUCAUGAAGUGUACUUCCUUGUUAACAAUUGAAUGGAUUUACUUAUAUGUCUUCUGGCAGCCAAAUUUAUACACUUUA